AUAAUACUUAAGAGCAGUCACUCCCAACAUGUAGUACAAGGACCACUAGUGGCAUUUGUGGGCAUUGUAGGCAUAUGCUGAAUUUUGCCGUAUGUCAUAUGCUUAUUAUGCAUAUACUUAUAACAAAUCAGAAUUAUUAUCUUUUAUUGUUUUUACUUUGCACUGAAAACAUCUACAGACUGGAACUAUUGCUUACGAGUAAUUAAAGUAUUAUUCAACAACCACUGAAAUCAACUUCGAUGUCACACCCAACAUUCCUAUGAAUGUUGUCACACAGGUCAGUCGGUACCAAAUACCAAAUUACUUUCUGCGUCAAACUACAGCGGGGUUUAGCUGUUAUUGUAAAGGUUGGUGCUUCCCUUUGUUACUGGACACAGUACAUGUUAGCUGACAGCUGCUGGUGCAGUGGUAGGCUGAAAUUCCACUCUCCAAAGCUUUGGCAACAGACUUCCUUCCAAAGUUGAUGUCGCUGACUUAAUCACACGUUGCUGUCUAUGGUCAACACAGAAUGAACGGCAGUGCCUGGAUAAGUAACAACAACGGUGUUGACACAUUCCGAGCCUUGACACUGGUGGAUUUGAACACACGAUCUGACACAGGAAAAAUCAACAAAUCACCUCAAACCACCACGCUGCCAGUCCUGAGGUAAGACCUGUUAAGACCUCUGCUCUGUUUAAAGAAAGCAUCCUCAUUGUUGGCCACGUCCAUGUUCUGUAAAUUAUAAAGCAGCGAUGUAUUCAGCGAUCUUCUCACUGCUUGUGACGUCUCAGAGUGACUAUGACCUCUCCCCAGGUGAGAUAGAACGUAACAGUCUAGGUCCAACAACCUUACCCACCAGUACCUGUUACUACUAGUCUCGCCACAUUGUUAGGUUCCACAAAUGUCAUGCUAUUUCUUAAGAUUAAAGAACUGUAAACACACUGGUUUCUCUUAAUGUUUUUCCUCAGAGUUCCUUCAAAUUGUCCCAGACAUAUUAGCCUGUUAGCAUUCGACCCUGAGGGAGAUGUGGUGAAAUGCAGAUAUGGCACAGAAGAGAGUAAUGAGUGUGACCUCUGCACACAGCCGUCCGUUCUCCACCUCACACAGGUCAGCAAAAGCCAGUUCAUGAGCUUUUUUUAACCCAUGACCUGCUCCACUCCUGAGGAUCCUCAUCAUCUCAUCUCAUCUUUUAGGAGUCAUGUGGCUUGUCCUUCAGUGGCACCAACAGCAGUGCUGAGGGGCUGUAUGCAGUCCAGCUGAUGAUGUUGGACUCCCCAAGGCAAGAUAUCACCAUAACCACUGAUUUUGGGCCUGUCCUACUAGACUCCAACAGUAAUAUCAGUGAAAUUCCUGUCCAGUUUACCUUUCAAGUUGAUCCUGCAGUGCCAUCCUGCACAGAAGGGCUUUACUUACCUGGGUUUCUGUCUCCCACACCAGCCAACAGAGCUCAGUUUAACACCUCUGUUGGCCAGACCAUUGAGAUCAGGAUCAAGGCCGAAUCAAACAUGUCUACGUGAGUCAACGGAGAGUGCUGAUAAGUCAAUUUAUUUAUGACUUUUUUGUUAAACUAAAUGUUUAUUAAUUUAUUCAGUCUCAUAGUCGCUCUUUGCCCACAUCAUCCUCAGACUAUAUUAACGUCUACUUAGUAAGGUGGAUUGAAAAGCAUCUAAGCCCCAUCACUUCCUGUUGUGUAAGGAUCUUAGAGCUGCUGUUCAGUGGGCCGUUCAACAUCAACCAGGCCAUGUCAGCACCAGGGGAGUUCAUCCUGAGCUGGACUCCAUCUUUCAUUGAAGGUGGAGAACACCAUCCCAUCUGUUUUGUUGUCCAGGGAGUAAAUAACGCCACCAAGUAUCAUUCUGAGAUGAGAUGUGUCAUUGUCAAUGUCAACGUAACAAUUGAAUCUACAACUGCAGUGACACAAAUCUCACCUGUAUCUGAGGUCAGCAGUAUCAUACCAACAACACCCGCAACUCCGACCAGUACAGAAGGAACUACAACACCAACAACAACCACUAUAACUACAACACCAACAACAACCACAAUA
This is a long non-coding RNA of Cynoglossus semilaevis (tongue sole), 2023 nucleotides long. RefSeq lists it as uncharacterized. The transcript is spliced from 4 exons. NCBI's taxonomy places the organism in Eukaryota, Metazoa, Chordata, Actinopteri, Pleuronectiformes, Cynoglossidae. The record is from RefSeq and is a predicted model, not a curated record.